UUCCGGNUGAUCCUGCCGGAGGUUACUCCUUUCGGUGUUCGACUAAGCCAUGCAAGUCAUAUGUUCCUCGUGAACAUGGCAUACUGCUCAGUAACACGUGGAUAACCUGCCCUUGGGUCUGGGAUAACCCCGGGAAACUGGGGAUAAUAUCGGAUAACGCAUAUGUGCUGGAAUGCUUUAUGCGUAAAACGGAUUCGUCCGCCCAAGGAUGGGUCUGCGGCCUAUCAGGUAGUAGUGGGUGUAAUGUACCUACUAGCCAACAACGGGUACGGGUUGUGAGAGCAAGAGCCCGGAGAUGGAUUCUGAGACAUGAAUCCAGGCCCUACGGGGCGCAGCAGGCGCGAAAACUUUACAAUGCGGGAAACCGUGAUAAGGGAACACCGAGUGCCAGCAUCAUAUGCUGGCUGUCCAGAUGUGUAAACUACAUCUGUUAGCAAGGGCCGGGCAAGACCGGUGCCAGCCGCCGCGGUAACACCGGCGGCCCGAGUGGUGACCGUUAUUAUUGGGUCUAAAGGGUCCGUAGCCGGUUUGGUCAGUCCUCCGGGAAAUCUGAUAGCUUAACUGUUAGGCUUUCGGGGGAUACUGCCAGGCUUGGAACCGGGAGAGGUAAGAGGUACUACAGGGGUAGGAGUGAAAUCUUGUAAUCCCUGUGAGACCACCUGUGGCGAAGGCGUCUU
This 677-nucleotide ribosomal RNA is filed under the name uncultured archaeon. RNAcentral's name for it is "bacterial SSU rRNA". It matches the Rfam family "Archaeal small subunit ribosomal RNA", at positions 1 to 678 of the family's 1478-position model. The record is from RNAcentral.